UGCCUGGUUCAUUCUGUAGCUUUGAAAGGGUAUUUUUAGAUUUGAAGAUAGAAACAUAAAAUGAUAAUUUCAAAGGUGCGUAGGUGCAGUAAGGCUCUUCCUGCAAUGUUUCAGCAGUGCUGAAAAGUCAUAUUCAAAAACCUCAUUAGGUACCUCCACGCCUUUGAAAUUCAGGCUUUUAGAGUUGCUAUGUGUAUUUAACAUGAUUAGAAACGUCUCCCAAAUGAUCUUUUCCUACACUUCCUUUGCACAUUGCAUAAUUUCAUUUGACAUUUUGUUGACAGUCACUGGUAUAUUCUCGUGUUGAGUCUGGGAGCAGGUGAAUCUUGAUUAGGAAUUUGCCAUUUCCUUUGCAAAUACGUACAUCUGUAUGCUAACAUAAUACGACUCUUGAUGUCUCUGAUAUAUAAAGAGUUCGAUAAACAGGAUAAUUUCCAUCACGAACAUGGUUAUUAUCCGAAUCUUAUUUUUUUUAAUUGUAGGUAUGAGUUGUGGCUGUAAGGAGAUUUUGACUGAACCAUUUCUGGUUUCUGUUUCCUUGCAACGUUCCUUGCAAGAUGAAUAAGUUGUGUGGUAAGAAUAAGACGUACUUUCCAAAGAGCAGAUGCUCUGUAAGCCUAGUGUGGAUUGCCAGGAUUUGAGUGCAGGCCAGGCAAAAUUCAUUUCCUAAAUCCAAAUAGAAUUCUGGAUGACUUAUAGUAUCAGGAUGUAUCUUUGAGAGAAGUUUAAAAGUUGAGGAGCUUGAGUUUUGCUUGAGAAAAGAAAACCUGAAUCAACAGCUUUUAUGGGUGGGUAUUGAAAAGGGAAAAACUUGGAGUUCUGAAGGCCACAUUUCUGCCUGCCCCGUCUGGGAAAUGGGGCGCAAUGGGGCAGCUGGAGCCUGGCAGCUGGCUGAGUUCUUUUCCUCUCUUGGGCUCAAACACACAACUGCGAUGUGUCAGCAAUUAGAUCUCUGUUAAUUUAAUGAUUUUCUUCACCUAACUCUAUGUAAGUAACUGAAAGAAAGAGAAACGGAGCACUACACUGAGUGGACAGGCCCACUCUAAACACAGAAAGUGUCACCUUUUGUUGAAACAGGAGCUUCUUUUGUGACUUCUGUGAUAAGAAUAUAACAACUCCUAUUUUUCACAGGUUUUCUGUUCAAAUUAUUUACUAUUUGGAGCAAAGGCUGUCAUUUGUUAUGCAUUUGAACAGUUAUUCCUGUAAUUGAGUCUUUGAAUAGUUUAGGGGGUUAUUUAGAACAUAAAUCAUAACUAUGCAUUAGGCAGAGGGAAGAAAAGGUUUUAUUUAAUUUUGCAUACCCACAGACCUGUAAAAUUAAACAAAUUGCAGAAGAAAACCAGCACAAGCCUUCUUCUGAUAUUACAGUGCAGCAAACAUGCCAUCUGUUACCAGCGCUCUUCCUAUCCACUCAUGAAUCCCAGAGCACAUAAGAAAAAUGGUCUUUGUGAGACCCUCCGAGAAAUAUGUACCACCAGCUUGAGAAAUUGAAUCAGGAUAAUAUUAGAAUGUGAAGAUUCUGCCAUGGAAAUCCAGUUAUGAUCUCUUACAGGAUUUAUUAUUGUUGCCUUGAGAACUUAGUGUGGAAGCAAGCCCUUCCCUAAGAGCUCAGUUAGCCUGGUUGGCGGUCUUAAUGUAAACACCACCGAGAACUUCACUUUUAUUACUUCUGUUUCUUCCUUUCUUUUUGUAGUAUUGCUUUUCCUAGUGACCUUUAUGGAACUCUCCAUAAAAAUGCAGCAGAUCUUGCUGACCCUAACAACUCAGAGGAAACAUUUAAUCAUACAACAUCAGACUAUUGUUUGCAUGGAGUUGACUUGAAAUAUUUGAUAUCAACUCUUCAAAAAUAAGGACAACGAUACUCUAUGCUUUGAGGAAUGGAGAUCAAUUUUUUAACAUUUUUGUGAGAAAUUGCUGCGUAGAGUACUCAGAUAUAUAUCACAGACUCUUCUGACAGAUCCUCUGUAGUUUUGGAAAUUCCUGUACACACACCUCUAAAUAAAGAUAUACAUGCCAGGA
Molecule: long non-coding RNA, 2019 nt
Organism: Gallus gallus (chicken)
Lineage: Eukaryota; Metazoa; Chordata; Aves; Galliformes; Phasianidae
Source: Ensembl